UAUUCUUCAGCAUUCUUGUAAACAUAUUAUGACUUGUUUUGGCACUUUUGCAAGCAAGAAUCCUCCACAUAAGAUACAAAACCAUGAGCAUCUGUCAAGUAAAUUCAAUUAUAAAAAAAAAUAUGUAAGAUAAACAAUAUCAAUAUUGACUCAAUUAUAGAUAAUGAUUAUAAAACCUAUUAAAGAUAGAACUAUGUUGGAAGAUAAAGAAUACCAAUAUUGACGGUAAUAGAUUUGUUCACACCACAACCAGUAAUACAAUCGUAUUUAUCGAUUGUCGCUGUUUUACGGCAUUUUGCAACACAAAUAGCAAAACAUAUUGGAUAGCCAAUGUUAGCUACUAAACAAUCUAUGCCACAUUGUGCAGGACAUGUAAGCUUGUCUGGCUGAGUUUUCAUUGAUGCAUAACAGUAAUCAGCUUGUACGAAGAUCAACAUAACCAUGAUCGUCAUUCCAAUAAUUUUCAUCUCAUUCUUUCCCAUAACUUUUCUCAAAAGUCUUUAGAAUCUCUCCCAGGAAUUAUA
RNAcentral lists this long non-coding RNA (524 nucleotides) under Glycine max (soybean). RNAcentral's name for it is "long non-coding RNA (GMAX_LNC002520)". Lineage: Eukaryota; Viridiplantae; Streptophyta; Magnoliopsida; Fabales; Fabaceae. The record is from RNAcentral.